GSGGRUAGCGAUGCUUAUUCUUACGGUACCAUCAGCCCCGGUUCACGACCAGGGGUUUUUUCCCGUACAAAAGAAGUUUACAACCCAUAGGGCCGUCAUCCUUCACGCGGCAUGGCUGGUUCAGACUUGCGUCCAUUGACCAAUAUUCCUUACUGCUGCCUCCCGUAGGAGUCUGGUCCGUGUCUCAGUACCAGUGKGGGGGKGAAUCCUCUCAGAACCCCUAGACAUCGUCGCCUUGGUGAGCCGUUACCUCACCAACUAGCUAAUGUCGCGCAUGCUCAUCCAAAACCGCCGGAGCUUUAAUUAUAAUGAGAUGUCUCAUCAUAAUGUUAUGGGGUAUUAAUCCCGAUUUCUCGGGGCUAUCCCCCAGUUAAGGGUAGAUUGCAUACGUGUUACGCACCCGUGCGCCACUCGUCAGCAUCCAUUGCUGGACCUGUUACCGUUCGACUUGCAUGUAUUAGGCCUGCCGCUAGCGUUAAUCCUGAGCCAUGAUCAAACUCUAAUCGAAUUCCCGCGGCCGCCAUGGCGGCCGGGAGCAUGCGACGUCGGGCCCAAUUCGCCCUAUAGUGAGUCGUAUUACAUUYAYGGCC
Molecule: ribosomal RNA, 590 nt
Filed under: uncultured Bacteroidota bacterium
Lineage: Bacteria; Pseudomonadati; Bacteroidota
Description: uncultured Bacteroidetes bacterium partial 16S ribosomal RNA
Source: RNAcentral